This 494-nucleotide ribosomal RNA is filed under the name uncultured bacterium. RNAcentral describes it as "partial 16S ribosomal RNA". It matches the Rfam family "Bacterial small subunit ribosomal RNA", at positions 28 to 507 of the family's 1533-position model. The record is from RNAcentral.
GACGAACGCUGGCGGCGUGCUUAACACAUGCAAGUCGAACGGUGAAGCGCCUUCCUUUUUGGUGGGUGUGGAUGAGUGGCGAACGGGUGAGUAACACGUGAGUAACCUGCCCCCUUCUUCUGGAUAACCGCAUGAAAGUGUGGCUAAUACGGGAUAUUCUGGGUCUGUCGCAUGAUGGGUCUGGGAAAGAUAUUGUUUCGGUGGGGGAUGGGCUCGCGGCCUAUCAGCUUGUUGGUGGGGUGAUGGCCUACCAAGGCGGUGACGGGUAGCCGGCCUGAGAGGGUGGACGGGCACAAUGGGAAUGAGAAACGGGCCAGAAUCCUAAGGGGGGGAGCAGGGGGGAAUAUUGCACAAUGGGCGCAAGCCUGAUGCAGCGACGCCGCGUGAGGGAUGGAGGCCUUCGGGUUGUGAACCUCUUUCGCCAGUGAAGCAGGCCUGCCUCGUUUGUGGGUGGGUUGACGGUAGCUGGAGAAGAAGCGCCGGCUAACUACGUG